RNAcentral lists this ribosomal RNA (497 nucleotides) under uncultured bacterium. RNAcentral's name for it is "partial 16S ribosomal RNA". It matches the Rfam family "Bacterial small subunit ribosomal RNA", at positions 28 to 507 of the family's 1533-position model. The record is from RNAcentral.
GACGAACGCUGGCGGCGUGCCUAAUACAUGCAAGUUGAGCGAUGAAGCUUGGUGCUUGCCCCAAUUUGAAGAGCAGCGAACGGGUGAGUAACGCGUGGGGAAUCUGCCUUUGAGCGGGGGACAACAUUUGGAAACGAAUGCUAAUACCGCAUAACAACUUUAAACAUAAGUUUUAAGUUUGAAAGAUGCAAUUGCAUCACUCAAAGAUGAUCCCGCGUUGUAUUAGCUAGUUGGUGUGGUAAAGGCUCACCAAGGCGAUGAUACAUAGCCGACCUGAGAGGGUGAUCGGCCACAUUGGGACUGAGACACGGCCCAAACGCCUACGGGAGGCAGCAGUAGGGAAUCUUCGGCAAUGGACGAAAGUCUGACCGAGCAACGCCGCGUGAGUGAAGAAGGUUUUCGGAUCGUAAAACUCGGUUGGUAGAGAAGAACGUUGGUGAGAGUGGAAAGCUCAUCAAGUGACGGUAACUACCCAGAAAGGGACGGCUAACUACGUG